RNAcentral lists this ribosomal RNA (497 nucleotides) under uncultured bacterium. RNAcentral describes it as "partial 16S ribosomal RNA". It matches the Rfam family "Bacterial small subunit ribosomal RNA", at positions 28 to 507 of the family's 1533-position model. The record is from RNAcentral.
GAUGAACGCUGGCGGCGUGCCUAAUACAUGCAAGUCGAGCGAACAGACGAUAAGCUUGCUCCUCUGACGUUAGCGGCGGACGGGUGAGUAACACGUGGAUCACCGAGCUAUAAUACUGGGAUAACUUCGGGAUACCGCAGCUAAUCCCGGGUAAUAAAUUGAAGCUCAUGGUUCCAUGGUGAAAGACGGUUUUGCUGUUACGUAUAGAUAGAUCCAUGCCGCAUUAGCUAGUUGGUAAGGUAACGGCGUACCAAGGCAACGAUGUGUAGCCGACCUGAGAGGGUGACCGGCCACACUGGAACUGAGACACGGUCCAGACUCCUACGGGAGGCAGCAGUAGGGAAUCUUCCGCAAUGGGCGAAAGCCUGACCGAGCAACGCCGCGUGAGGGAUGAAGGUCUUCGGAUCGUAAAACGCUUUUAUCAGGGAAGAAAAGAUGUUUAAUAAACUAUGCGCGUCUUGACGGUACCUAAAGAGAAAGCCCCGGCUAACUACGUG